This 497-nucleotide ribosomal RNA is filed under the name uncultured bacterium. RNAcentral's name for it is "partial 16S ribosomal RNA". It matches the Rfam family "Bacterial small subunit ribosomal RNA", at positions 28 to 507 of the family's 1533-position model. The record is from RNAcentral.
GAUGAACGCUGGCGGCGUGCCUAAUACAUGCAAGUCGAGCGAACAGAUAAGGAGCUUGCUCCUUUGACGUUAGCGGCGGACGGGUGAGUAACACGUGGGUAACCUACCUAUAAGACUGGAAUAACUCCGGGAAACCGGGGCUAAUGCCGGAUAACAUUUAGAACCGCAUGGUUCUAAAGUGAAAGAUGGUUUUGCUAUCACUUAUAGAUGGACCCGCGCCGUAUUAGCUAGUUGGUAAGGUAACGGCUUACCAAGGCAACGAUACGUAGCCGACCUGAGAGGGUGAUCGGCCACACUGGAACUGAGACACGGUCCAGACUCCUACGGGAGGCAGCAGUAGGGAAUCUUCCGCAAUGGGCGAAAGCCUGACGGAGCAACGCCGCGUGAGUGAUGAAGGUCUUCGGAUCGUAAAACUCUGUUAUUAGGGAAGAACAAAUGUGUAAGUAACUGUGCACGUCUUGACGGUAUCUAAUCAGAAAGCCACGGCUAACUACGUG